GUUCAUGUUCUGUACGACACAGCAGCUGCAGCGGAAGGUCAUCAGACACUACUCUAAACAGGCGAUAAAGCAGAUGUAUGUCCUGGUGCUGGGCCUGGACGUUCUGGGGAAUCCGUUUGGUUUGAUCCGGGGUCUGUCCGAGGGCGUGGAGGCGUUCUUCUAUGAGCCGUGGCAGGGAGCGAUCCAGGGGCCGGAGGAGUUUGUGGAGGGCGUGGCUCUGGGGGUCAAGGCCCUGGUGGGAGGAGCUGUCGG
Periophthalmus magnuspinnatus is the source of this 252-nucleotide long non-coding RNA. RefSeq lists it as uncharacterized. Lineage: Eukaryota; Metazoa; Chordata; Actinopteri; Gobiiformes; Gobiidae. The record is from RefSeq and is a predicted model, not a curated record. The transcript has 3 exons.